Molecule: ribosomal RNA, 289 nt
Filed under: uncultured bacterium
Lineage: Bacteria
Description: partial 16S ribosomal RNA
Rfam family: Bacterial small subunit ribosomal RNA
Source: RNAcentral
AACGAACGCUCGCGGCUGAUUAGCUUGUUGGUAAGGUAAGAGCUUACCAAGGCGACGAUCAGUAUCUGGUUUGAGAGGACGAUCAGACACACUGGAACUGAGACACGGUCCAGACUCCUACGGGAGGCAGCAGUGGGGAAUUUUCCGCAAUGGGCGAAAGCCUGACGGAGCAAUACCGCGUGAGGGAAGACUGCCUAUGGGUUGUAAACCUCUUUUUUCAGGGAGGAAUAAAAUGACGUGUACCUGAAGAAUAAGCAUCGGCUAACUCCGUGCCAGCAGCCGCGGUAAU